CCGUUGCAGCAUCUUUUCUUUUUUUCAUUUUUCUUCCCAUUUCCUUCCAACCUUCUCUCUCCUUUUCAUGCUUCUAUCCUGACCAACCCUUUAACAAACCCUAACAACCCUCAACAAGGCCUUCAAUUACAAAUCGUAUGAGGUAACAGAGUAAUAGAGAGUAGCAGCAAUGGUUCCCAAAUGUUGAGAAUGCGCUUGCGAAGUUCACAUGGGCUAAAGAAGUUCAUAAGAAGAUGGUUAAGCUGAAAGAGGAAGGCAAACCGAUGCCAAAGAACUUUGCUGAGGUGCAAAAGCUAAUGGGUUCAACACCAUUGGAUCUUGCCAAGUUUAAUAUGGUAAAGAGUGGAGAAAUGAGCCGUAAUGCUCCUUGUCCAUGUGGUUCCAAGAAGAGAUACAAAAUGUAAUUUGGCACACUAUUUCCCAGUGAUCUGUGUUGCUGUGAGUAGCUCAUAACCUGGACGCAGUGCUUAAGAGAUUUUAUGUCCUCAACCACGGACUGUUUUUCCAGUGCCAGUGUUGUUCCCUUCAAGUAGCACAAUUUUUUUAUCUUCUUUCAUAAGAAGUUUCGCUUUGUGAGCUAGUUUCGUUUUGAUACUUAUAUGUUGUUGGGGUCUACUUUAGUAUCUAACUUUACAAGUAGGUCUAUUUUGACUAUGAAUUUAUAUUCCGUCCAAAUUUAA
Gossypium raimondii (Peruvian cotton) is the source of this 680-nucleotide long non-coding RNA. RefSeq lists it as uncharacterized. The record is from RefSeq and is a predicted model, not a curated record. Lineage: Eukaryota; Viridiplantae; Streptophyta; Magnoliopsida; Malvales; Malvaceae. The transcript has 3 exons.